This 608-nucleotide ribosomal RNA is filed under the name uncultured bacterium. Its description in RNAcentral is "bacterial SSU rRNA". It matches the Rfam family "Bacterial small subunit ribosomal RNA", at positions 97 to 738 of the family's 1533-position model. The record is from RNAcentral.
GGCGGACGGGUGAGUAACGCGUGAGAAUCUGCCUUCAGGAUGGGGACAACAGUUGGAAACGACUGCUAAUACCCGAUAUGACGAAAGUUGAAAGAUUUAUCGCCUGGAGAUGAGCUCGCGUCAGAUUAGCUAGAUGGUGUGGUAAAGGCGCACCAUGGCGACGAUCUGUAGCUGGUCUGAGAGGAUGAGCAGCCACACUGGGACUGAGACACGGCCCAGACUCCUACGGGAGGCAGCAGUGGGGAAUUUUCCGCAAUGGGCGCAAGCCUGACGGAGCAAUACCGCGUGAGGGAGGAAGGCUCUUGGGUCGUAAACCUCUUUUCUCAGGGAAGAAUAAAAUGACGGUACCUGAGGAAUCAGCAUCGGCUAACUCCGUGCCAGCAGCCGCGGUAAUACGGAGGAUGCAAGCGUUAUCCGGAAUGAUUGGGCGUAAAGCGUCCGUAGGUGGUCAUGUAAGUCUGUGGUUAAAGCGUGGGGCUCAACCCCAUAAGGGCCAUGGAAACUACACGACUAGAGUCAAGUAGGGGUAGAGGGAAUUCCCAGUGUAGCGGUGAAAUGCGUAGAGAUUGGGAAGAACACCGGUGGCGAAAGCGCUCUACUGGACUUAA